GCGCGCGCCAGGGGCGCAGUCCCCAGACCCAAUCUCCCGGGAGACCGUGUGUUUGUGCGCGCACUUUCCUAAACAGACUGAAAGUGCCAUGAGGGCAGGGUCCAUGCCAGUGUUGUAUUCCCAGCAUUAGCACGAUGUCCGGCAUAAAUACGCAGGAAGUAUUUGUUGAACGAAUGACAGCCUCACUUUGGCCUGCUUUUUUCCCUGCGCUCAGAAGAAGGUAAAUCUAUUGAUGAACACCCCAUCUUCCUGGUAAAUGGUAGAGCUGAGGUUGCAGAGAUCAUAAAAUGGACUUGCUAAGUGACCCACGCAAGUAUCGAGCAUUAUGGCUGAAGAAGUGACUGUUGUCUACUCUUACUUUCAUUGCCCUUUCCUAACACGAACUCUGUAUUUAAUAUAUACUUCAGGAUAGACUACCUAUAGUUACUAUUUAAUGAGUGCUUAUCAUGUGCCAACUUAUGCAAAGCAGUUUGUAUGGUUGGUUUCAUUUAAUUCUCACAAAAUUCUACGAGGUAGGUGCUAUCACUGUUAUUCCUGUUUUACAGUGACAAAUUAAGGAGGGUCGGUUUAUUUGCCUCCACACAGCUGCUAAGUGGUAAAGCAGGGAUUUGAAACCUUGCAGUCUAUCUUCAUGUCCUGUGCUGUUACUACCUCCUACAUUACCAAUAAACCACUGUUAAUUUUGAAAUCUAUUUAAAAUUAGUUACCAUAAUUUCA
Long non-coding RNA from Mustela erminea (ermine), 717 nucleotides. RefSeq lists it as uncharacterized. The transcript has 3 exons. The record is from RefSeq and is a predicted model, not a curated record. NCBI's taxonomy places the organism in Eukaryota, Metazoa, Chordata, Mammalia, Carnivora, Mustelidae.